Molecule: ribosomal RNA, 432 nt
Filed under: uncultured bacterium
Lineage: Bacteria
Description: partial 16S ribosomal RNA
Rfam family: Bacterial small subunit ribosomal RNA
Source: RNAcentral
GAUGAACGCUGGCGGUAUGCUUAACACAUGCAAGUCGAACGGUCACUUCGGUGAUAGUGGCGGACGGGGGAGUAACGCGGGGGGAUCUGUCUUCAGGUCGGGGACAACAGUUAGAAUUGCCUGCUGAUACCGGAUGUGCUUUUGGGUGAGAGAUUUAUUGCCUGAAAAAGAGCUCGCGGCAGAUUAGCUAGUAGGUGGUGUAAGAGACUACCUAGGCUCCGAUGUGUAGCUGGUCUGAGAGGACGAGCAGCCACACUGGAACUGAGACACGGUCCAGACUCUUACGGGAUGCAGGAGUGGGUAAUUUUCCCCAAUGGGCGAAAUGCUGACGGUCCAAGACCUGGUGAGGGACGAAGGCUUGGGGGUCGUAAAGCACUUUUAUCAAGUAAGAUGAUGACGUUACUUGAGGAAUAAGCACCGGCUAACUCCGUG